GUGGACUACAUUUCCCAGCCUCCUUUGCAGUGGGCCAGCCAUGUGACUGAGUUCUGGCCAAUGGCAUGUGAGCAGAAUGGAUAUGCACUACCACCAGCCUUCCCACCAGACCUCAGCCCAAUACUCCAUGCUUUGUCUUCUUGCCACUUGAUCUUAAAGCCCAAAGUCCCAGAGGGAGCUUAGCAGGUACAGGGAUAGUGGAGGAACUACAUGGAAACAGCCUGGACACUGAGUGACUGAGGGAGGCAGAGGCCCCUCCUACCCACUGUCAAGAGGCCAAUAACAUGAUAACUAGGUUUCAUGAGUGUGUUGGGCCACUGCUCAGUGUCAGUAUUUUACAAUAGCUGUAACCUGGUCUAAUACAGAUCCAGGAGGCUCUUGAUUAAAUUGGUGUUUCUUACUCCCACCAGCCAAGAGUUCCACUCCCCAUAACUUGUCUUAUAAAAGCAAUGGUCUUUUUUUUUUUUUUUCAACUUAUCAAAACUUCCAACUUACAAACAUUCAUGGACAUGAACAAAGCUGAACACCAGAAGAAAAAUGUGUCAGAUCUGCUCCCUCAAACAAUGGUUGUUUAUAUGGCACCAGGGAACAGAGUUUCUUUGCUUCUGAUUAGAUCUGAGCCGAUGGCUGGGGCUAGAAAGAGAGGACAUUCUGAGUGGCUAGGGCUGGGUCAUAUGUCCAUCCUUAGGGCUAAGUAGAGCCAGUUCCCUCAAACCAAAUGGGCUGAGAGUUGAGAAUGGAAACAAGAUAUCAAAAGAGUGGGCGAAUGGAUUCUGGGCAGGUUAAAAAAAAAACAGAGAUACCAACUCCACAUUUCAUGAGGAAAACAAGAAGGACACUCCAGGGACUUUCCCAAGAUCAAACAGUUAAGAAAGGCAAUUGAAUGACCAUCCUUGUCCAGGAGUCAUCUGUUUUUGGUGCGAAAGAACCCAAAUCACCAGCAACUGUGGAUAAUUAUAAGCACCAAAGAACCAUGUUCCCUAAUGCAUGGACCAUAAAGCCAUCAGUUGUCCUGAGGCUGCAGAGGGCUUCAUAAAAGGCCAUUCAUCUCAUUAAUAACUGGUCUGCUGCCAACUUAAGUGGUUUGGUGCUGUUAACUGUAAGUAUAUUUUUAAUGUAAGGAACUUACUCCCAUUAGCUGUCUUCUCUUUUGAAAAUAUGACCAAGUAAAAGGCUGAGAUUUCACAAGCUGAGAGAAUCACCUGGCAUUCCCCAGCCUCUUAAGAGUCUACCUGGGCAGCC
This 1242-nucleotide long non-coding RNA is filed under the name Marmota monax (woodchuck). Lineage: Eukaryota; Metazoa; Chordata; Mammalia; Rodentia; Sciuridae. The record is from RNAcentral.